GAAUUAUUGAAUCUAAUAAAAAACGAACCCUCGCGAGCUCUGGGAUCGAUCCGGCCAAGACAAUUGACAAAUAUCUCAAGUCAAAGAUUAACAGAUUUAUGUGGGUGUUAUUUCGGUUUAAGACUGCUGGCGGUGUACCAUGAUGGAGCAGCUGGCCUCCCAGCUAGCCGACAGCCGGCUGGCGAGCGGUGCCGAGCCUGACGAGCCGCUUCACACACCCCGACUGGCGCAGUACAAGAACGCCGGCCGGGUGUCCAUCAGCCAGCAGUGCCGGCGCAGCCAGCUGCUGCAGCGCCAGAAACGCGAACGGGAUGGUCGCUUGGAUCGUCUGCGGGCCAUCACGGCGGACGAUGACGAGGGGGCGCUGGACGCUGCCGCACUGCCCCCCGCCUUCAGCUACAGAAAACAGGGCUUCUAUCAGUCGCAGUACUCGAACCAGCUGAUGUUCUCCGAGUGGAUGGAGACGGUGCCGGCCGACCUGCACACUGACUGGCUGCUCAAGAUGUGUCCUCCGGGUAAACGGUGCCUGGUCGUGGCCAAACGGCGGUGCACGCGCUCGUACAGCGCCUCCGGCGCGCUGCUGCGCACGUUCCCGUCUCGGCUGCCGGCCGGCUGGCGCGGCCCACUCGGCCAGCGGCCCACGGUGCUCGACUGUAUCUGGGACCAGGCGGCCGGCACGUUCCACGUGCUGGACCUGCUCGCCUGGAACGGCCACCAGGUGUUCGAAUGCGAGGCAGAGUUCCGCUUCACGUGGCUGCAGACGAAGCUGUCAGAGACGCCGGAGGUGGGGGUCGCCUCGCGCAGCAACCCGUACCGCUUCGUGGCGAUCAGCCACACGGCGUGCGGGCCUGCCGAGCUGGCGGCCACCGCCGCCGCCGCCGCCGACGGGGCGCUGUUCUUCCACCGCGCGGCGCACUACUGGCCGGGCGUGUCGCCGCUGGUGCUGUGGCUGAAGCCGUUCAUGCUGCCGGAGACGCUGGGCGUGCCGCGCACGGCCGCAGAGCUGGGCGCGCCACCCGACUAUGCUGGCCGCCAGCGCUACAUCGACCGCUGGCAGGCCAGCCGCCACCGCAAACCCGAAGGCCGCACACGGCAGGUCCAGAUGGAGUCCUGAAUAUGCUAGCAUGGCAUUAAGGCGAGGUUUUUGCUGUGUGUCUCUUCUCCGGACUCCAACACGACAGCCUCCAGUGCGACAGCCUCCAGCACCACUGUUGACACCGGCGGCCGCAUGGCUGUGCCGCGACGGCUUCGGUUAAGCAGAGUCUGCUAGGAGAGGUGACCUCCACGCGGCACACGGUCUUUCGUGUACACUGUCUGGCAAUGCAGCUGCGAGAAGCUGUGCAAUGUGCAUUGCGACGCAAUAUAUGUCAUGUGCAAUCAAAAAUGAAAUAAAAAGAUUCACUCUUAUCCGCCUUUUUUGAGGUAAAUUUCCCCUCUGACACCCAAGCCAAGCUACAAUUUUGGGACACUGGUCUUCAUUGGGAAAAGUUACUGUGAGUUCAAAAUUUGAUGAAAUGACUGCUGCAGGAUUAUGGUUUCUUGGAGUCCUCUCAUGGAAGUUUUCUGACACCAUUUGUUGGCCACCACAGACACUUCUCAAAGGCAAAUAGCUCUGGACAUUAGGUUAAUUGUCAAAUUUUGAAGGUUCUACUGAGUAUCCAGGAUCAAGAUGGU
This 1674-nucleotide unclassified non-coding RNA is filed under the name Amphibalanus amphitrite. RNAcentral's name for it is "coiled-coil domain-containing protein 25-like, transcript variant X3". Lineage: Eukaryota; Metazoa; Arthropoda; Thecostraca; Balanomorpha; Balanidae. The record is from RNAcentral.